GACGUAGGGUGCAAGCGUUGUCCGGAUUUAUUGGGCGUAAAGAGCUCGUAGGCGGCUCGUCGCGUCAGCUGUGAAAACCCACGGCUUAACUGUGGGCUUGCAGCUGAUACGGGCGGGCUGGAGUUCGGUAGGGGAGACUGGAAUUCCUGGUGUAGCGGUGAAAUGCGCAGAUAUCAGGAGGAACACCAGUGGCGAAGGCGACUACCUGGCCUGUUCUUGACGCUGAGGCGCGAAAGCUAGGGGAGCAAACGGG
This 253-nucleotide ribosomal RNA is filed under the name uncultured bacterium. RNAcentral's name for it is "partial 16S ribosomal RNA". It matches the Rfam family "Bacterial small subunit ribosomal RNA", at positions 524 to 776 of the family's 1533-position model. The record is from RNAcentral.